GGAGAAAUGGCUGAGUGGUUUAAAGCGAUGGAUUGCUAAUCCGUUAUAUAAAGUAUUUUUGUAUCGAGGGUUCAAAUCCCUUUUUCUCCU
RNAcentral lists this transfer RNA (90 nucleotides) under Boodleopsis sp. H.0758. RNAcentral describes it as "tRNA-Ser". It matches the Rfam family "tRNA". From Rfam's summary of the family: Transfer RNA (tRNA) molecules are approximately 80 nucleotides in length. Their secondary structure includes four short double-helical elements and three loops (D, anti-codon, and T loops). Further hydrogen bonds mediate the characteristic L-shaped molecular structure. tRNAs have two regions of fundamental functional importance: the anti-codon, which is responsible for specific mRNA codon recognition, and the 3' end, to which the tRNAs corresponding amino acid is attached (by aminoacyl-tRNA synthetases). tRNAs cope with the degeneracy of the genetic code in two manners: having more than one tRNA (with a specific anti-codon) for a particular amino acid; and 'wobble' base-pairing, i.e. permitting non-standard base-pairing at the 3rd anti-codon position. The record is from RNAcentral. Lineage: Eukaryota; Viridiplantae; Chlorophyta; Ulvophyceae; Bryopsidales; Halimedaceae.